GAUGAACGCUGGCGGCGUGCCUAAUACAUGCAAGUCGAGCGAACGGACGAGAAGCUUGCGUCUCUGAUGUGAGCGGCGGACGUGUGAGUAACACGUGGAUAAUCUACCUAUAAGACUGGGAUAACUUCGGGAAACCGGAGCUAAUACCGGAUAAUAUUUUGAACCGCAUGGUUCAAAAGUGAAAGACGGUCUUGCUGUCACUUAUAGAUGGAUCUGCGCUGCAUUAGCUAGUUGGUACGGUAACGGCUUACCAAGGCAACGAUGCAUAGCCGACCUGAGAGGGUGAUCGGCCACACUGGAACUGAGACACGGUCCAGACUCAUACGGGAGGCAGCCGUAGGGAAUCGUCCGCAAUGGGCGAAAGCCUGACGGAGAAACGCCGCGUGAGUGAUGAAGGUCUUCGGAUCGGAAAACUCUGUUAUUAGGGAAGAACAUAUGUGUAAGUAACUGUGCACAUCUUGACGGUACCUAAUCAGAAAGCCACGGCUAACUACGUG
This 497-nucleotide ribosomal RNA is filed under the name uncultured bacterium. RNAcentral's name for it is "partial 16S ribosomal RNA". It matches the Rfam family "Bacterial small subunit ribosomal RNA", at positions 28 to 507 of the family's 1533-position model. The record is from RNAcentral.